AUUGAACGCUGGCGGCAGGCUUAACACAUGCAAGUCGAGCGGGGUGAUGGUGCUUGCACUAUCACUUAGCGGCGGACGGGUGAGUAAUGCUUAGGAAUCAGCCUAUUAGUGGGGGACAACAUCUCGAAAGGGAUGCUAAUACCGCAUACGUCCUACGGGAGAAAGCAGGGGAUCACUUGUGACCUUGCGCUAAUAGAUGAGCCUAAGUCGGAUUAGCUAGUUGGGGGGGUAAAGGCCUACCAAGGCGACGAUCUGUAGCGGGUCUGAGAGGAUGAUCCGCCACACUGGGACUGAGACACGGCCCAGACUCCUACGGGAGGCAGCAGUGGGGAAUAUUGGACAAUGGGGGGAACCCUGAUCCAGCCACGCCGCGUGUGUGAAGAAGGCCUUAUGGUUGUAAAGCACUUUAAGCGAGGAGGAGGCUCUUUUGGUUAAUACCCAAGAUGAGUGGACGUUACUCGCAGAAUAAGCACCGGCUAACUCUGUGCCAGCCGCCGCAGUAA
This 503-nucleotide ribosomal RNA is filed under the name uncultured bacterium. RNAcentral's name for it is "partial 16S ribosomal RNA". It matches the Rfam family "Bacterial small subunit ribosomal RNA", at positions 30 to 523 of the family's 1533-position model. The record is from RNAcentral.